CAGCCGCCACGGUAAUACGAAGGGGGCUAGCGUUGCUCGGAAUGACUGGGCGUAAAGGGCGCGUAGGCGGAUGGCACAGUCAGAUGUGAAAUUCCCGGGCUUAACCUGGGGGCUGCAUUUGAUACGUGUUGUCUAGAGUGAGGAAGAGGGUCGUGGAAUUCCCAGUGUAGAGGUGAAAUUCGUAGAUAUUGGGAAGAACACCGGUGGCGAAGGCGGCGACCUGGUCCUUUACUGACGCUGAGGCGCGAAAGCGUGGGGAGCAAACAGGAUUAGAUACCCGUGUAGUCCCUGUCUCUUAUAA
This 301-nucleotide ribosomal RNA is filed under the name uncultured bacterium. RNAcentral's name for it is "partial 16S ribosomal RNA". It matches the Rfam family "Bacterial small subunit ribosomal RNA", at positions 509 to 809 of the family's 1533-position model. The record is from RNAcentral.